GGGUAUAGAAGGCAGACCCGGGGAACUGAAACAUCUAAGUACCCGGAGGAAGAGAAAGCAAAUGCGAUUCCCUGAGUAGCGGCGAGCGAAACGGGAUUAGCCCAAACCAAGAGGCUUGCCUCUUGGGGUUGUAGGACACUCUACACGGAGUUACAAAGGAACGAGGUAAAUGAACAGGUCUGGAAAGGCCGGCCAGAGAAGGUAAAAGCCCUGUAGUUGAAACUUCGUUCCCUCCAGAGUGGAUCCUGAGUACGGCG
RNAcentral lists this ribosomal RNA (257 nucleotides) under Escherichia coli. RNAcentral describes it as "partial 23S ribosomal RNA". It matches the Rfam family "Bacterial large subunit ribosomal RNA", at positions 168 to 419 of the family's 2925-position model. The record is from RNAcentral. Lineage: Bacteria; Pseudomonadati; Pseudomonadota; Gammaproteobacteria; Enterobacterales; Enterobacteriaceae.